Non-coding RNA from Cryomorphaceae bacterium, 380 nucleotides. The record is from Rfam. NCBI's taxonomy places the organism in Bacteria, Pseudomonadati, Bacteroidota, Flavobacteriia, Flavobacteriales, Cryomorphaceae.
CGUACAGUCGGCCUUGUCGCCCUGAUUUUCAGGGAGGAAAGUCCGGACAACAAAGAGCACCGCGCUUCCUAACAGGAAGGCAACCAAAACGCAAGGGAAGGUUGACAGCUAGUGCCACAGAGAGGGAAACCGCCACGGUGCAUCGAUCGAGCAACGUGGUAAGGGUGAAAAGGUGGGGUAAGAGCCCACCAGCAUUGUAGGUAACUACAAUGGCUUGGUAAACCUCGCGGGUUGAAAUGCCGCGUAAACCGAUGCUUGAGGGCUGCUCGCCCAAUGUCGGAGGGUAGGCAGAUAGAGCAAGUGGGUGACUGCUUGCCUAGAUCAAUGACAAGGACGUGCCUCGGUACGGACAGAAUCCGGCUUAUACGGCUGUACGUUUA